GAUGAAGAACGUAGCGAAAUGCGAUAAGUAAUGUGAAUUGCAGAAUCCAGUGAAUCAUCGAAUCUUUGAACGCACAUUGCGCCCCUUGGUAUUCCGAGGGGCAUGCCUGUUCGAGCGUCAUUAUAACCCCUCAAGCUCAGCUUGGUGUUGGGGCCUGCCGCACGGGCAGCCCUUAAAAUCAGUGGCGGUGCCAUCUGGCUCUAAGCGUAGUAAUUCUUCUCGCUAUAGAGUCCCGGUGGAUGCUUGCCAUUAACCCCCAAUUUUCUAUGGUUGACCUCGGAUCAGGUAGGGAUACCCGCUGAACUUAAGCAUAUCAAUAAGCGGAGGA
RNAcentral lists this unclassified non-coding RNA (328 nucleotides) under soil metagenome. Its description in RNAcentral is "partial contains 5.8S ribosomal RNA, internal transcribed spacer 2, and large subunit ribosomal RNA". The stretch from base 1 to 120 matches the Rfam family "5.8S ribosomal RNA", at positions 35 to 154 of the family's 154-position model. The record is from RNAcentral.